Long non-coding RNA from Ctenopharyngodon idella (grass carp), 422 nucleotides. RefSeq lists it as uncharacterized. The record is from RefSeq and is a predicted model, not a curated record. The transcript is spliced from 5 exons. NCBI's taxonomy places the organism in Eukaryota, Metazoa, Chordata, Actinopteri, Cypriniformes, Xenocyprididae.
UGUUAGUGGGGUGUAUUCCUUAACCGGAAGCGCUACACAACCUUUUCUGAAGUUCGAUGUGGUGAAGACGGAGAUAAGAGUGGGGUGUAUUCGUAAACUGGAAGCACUAUGCAACGUUUUCUGAAGCGCAAUGUGGUGACGAUGGUGAAAGGAGUGCGAACAUUUGUGGUGCAACAAUAGAAGGAUAUGGUGCAUCCUGUUUUUGGAGUCCAAUGCUGUCUGCGGAAAUACACAGAGAAGUUGAUUCAGUGUUUAAUGGUGUACAUCUCUGACAAUGCUGAUAAUCUCAUCAGGCAUUACCAGGAUAGCCAUGGUGACCUAAAGGAACUGGAACAGCACACACACUGAGGAUUAUCACAAAGGUGGCUUCAUGGACGAUCCUUUAGAAACUAACUUUCUUUUGGUCAAAUUGUCACUUUUUU